Molecule: long non-coding RNA, 1956 nt
Organism: Manacus vitellinus (golden-collared manakin)
Lineage: Eukaryota; Metazoa; Chordata; Aves; Passeriformes; Pipridae
Source: Ensembl
AGCUGGUGGGGACGAGUUGGGGCAGUGGCAGCUGGCACAGUGACCCCCCUGAUUUCUGCGUGUCUGCUCUGCCCCAGGUACGAGGAGGAACCUGCGCAACGACCUGCUGGUCGCGGCCGAUUCCAUCACCAACACCAUGUCCUCGCUGGUGAAGGAGCUCCACUCAGCAGAGGAAGAAGACGAAGAAGAAACAGGGAAGCUGCAGAAUGGGAAGGACCGAGGUUAGGAGGGCAGCCGAGGCUGGACAGCAAUUCAGGUUCCUCCCAGCCCUGUGUGCCCAUGUGUCAGGGACUCAGGAGUUCAUGAUUCCUGGUUCUCUGGGGUCCGAGGUGAGGAGCUCUGGGGUCAGGGGGACUCUCGUGGGUCCCACAAGCUGGGUCUGCUCCAGGCUUUCCAGGAUGGCCCCAGGGGUGCACAGCCCCAGCCAGAAGGUUCAGGAGGUCAUAGAGUCAUGGAAUCAUUGGGGUUGGAAAAGCUCUGAGACCAUCCAGUCCAACCAUUCCCCAGCAAUGCCCAGGCCACCCCUGACCCCUGUCCCAAAGUGCCACAUCCACACAGCUUUUAAAUCCCACCAGAGAUGGGGACUCCAACCCUGCCCUGGGCAGCUGUGCCAGGGCUGCACAGCCCUUUCCAGGAAGGAAUUGUUCCCAGUAUCUCCAACCUGACCCUGCCCUGGCACAGCUUGGGGCCGUUCCCCCUUGUGCUGUCCCUUGUUCCCCGGGAGCAGAGUCCGAACCCCCCCACCCCCCUCAGGGAGUUCCAGAGAGCGAAAAGGUGCCCCCUGAGCCUCCUUUUGCCCAGGUCCCAGCAGGGACAGGUGGCUCUGGCUGUGCCCCAGGGGCUGGGCUGGAGCUCUGCUCCCCGUGGGUGCUGACGGGCGUUUCUGGUGCCGCAGGCGCGGAGGUCGCGCUCGCGGCCGAGGGACGUCUCCCGUCCUUGGGAAGAGGCACGUUCAGCCCAUCCAUCACCAUCGUGUGCAACUGUGACCGAUCUCCACCACCUGCUGCCCACACGGCCCUCCCACAGCCAGCGGGAGGGCUCUCCCACAGCCCCCCGGGGCUCUCCCCGAACACCCGGAGGACUCUCCUGCCCUCAGGCCAUUGCAUGUUCUCUCGCGUGUUCCCAGCGACGACCACACCAUGUCCCACCCGGCUCAGCGGGUCACGGGAGGCUUGAGAAAACAAAAAAAAAACCACCUGAAAGGAAAGUGCUGGUGGCUGUUCCCACUCCGUGCACGGCUCCGUCCCGGCCUCCUCCCGGGCGGUGCCACCGUCACCUCACACGCCGGUCCUUCCUCCUCGUGCGCAUGGAAAAAGGGGUGCAGGCCCUCCCGGGGUCCCUCCUGCGUGGCAUGAAGGGGAUUCUCUCUCAAAAACCCACCUUGGAGUGGGGUGUGAGGUGUGUCCUCCCGGGCUGGGUGCAGGUGAAGGGGUGUCUGACCAGGGGGCCGUGACGGGCCACCAACCUCCGGCAUUCCCGGCCUUGCUGGGAGCAGCUCCUCACGCUGUGGGAGCUUUCCCGUCCCCAGCAGGGAAUCUGGGGAGGAGCAUGGCCAGGCUGAGAGCUGCAGCUCCACUCCCAGCCCCGGGAGUUGGGUCCAGUGUUGGUUAAAAGCAAAGGAAAUAAGGGAGCAGGGGGUGGCAGGGGGUGGCAGCUCCCCGGUGACCCGCGCUGGGCUCCUCUGCCAUCGCUGGUCCCCAAAACCACCAGUCCCAGUCACGGGUGGUUUUCAGCAUUCUUUUUUUCCUGUGGUGCUUAGGAAUGUUAUUUUUAGUGGAAGGAGCCGAGGGCCCUGAUGCAUCCAUAAAUAUUUAUGGAGGGAUGCGAAGGGGGCCCACAAACCACUGGGAGCGCCCUCGCUCUGCCCCCCUCCCUGUCCCAACCAGGGCCCCACGGGAAACCCCUGGGUCCCCCCAGCCCACGGGAGAGGGGGAAUAAACACCCGUGGUGGCCACA